Molecule: ribosomal RNA, 266 nt
Filed under: uncultured bacterium
Lineage: Bacteria
Description: partial 16S ribosomal RNA
Rfam family: Bacterial small subunit ribosomal RNA
Source: RNAcentral
UUGGCCUACGGGGGGCAGCAGUAGGGAAUCUUCCACAAUGGGCGAAAGCCUGAUGGAGCAACGCCGCGUGGGUGAAGAAGGUCUUCGGAUCGUAAAACCCUGUUGUUAGAGAAGAAAGUGCGUGAGAGUAACUGUUCACGUUUCGACGGUAUCUAGCCAGAAAGCCACGGCUAACUACGCGCCAGCAGCCGCGGAAUACGUAGGUGGCAAGCGUUAUCCGGAUUUAUUGGGCGUAAAGGGAACGCAGGCGGGCUUUUUAGUCUGAU